Molecule: ribosomal RNA, 477 nt
Filed under: uncultured bacterium
Lineage: Bacteria
Description: partial 16S ribosomal RNA
Rfam family: Bacterial small subunit ribosomal RNA
Source: RNAcentral
GAUGAACGCUGGCGGCGUGCCUAACACAUGCAAGUCGAACGAAGCACCUUACCUGAUUCUUCGGAUGAAAUUUUGGUGACUGAGUAGCUGACGGGUGAGUAACGCGUGUGUAACCUGCCCUGUACAGGGGGAUAACAGCUGGAAACGGCUGCUAAUACCUCAUAAGCGCACGAGGAGACAUCUCCUUGUUUUAAAAACUCCGGUUGUACAGGAUGGGCCCGCAUCUGAUUAGAUGGAUGGCAGGGUAACGGCCUACCAAGGCAACGAUCAGUAGCCGGUCUGAGAGGAUGAACGGCCACAUUGGAGCUGAGACGCAGUCCAGACUCCUACGGGAGGCAGCAGUGGGGAAUAUUGCACAAUGGGGGAAACGCUGAUGCAGCAACGACGCGUGAGUGCAGAAGUAUUUCAGUAUGUAAAGCUCUAUCAGCAGGGAAGAUCAUGACGGUACCUGACUAAGAAGCCCCGGCUAAAUACGUG